Molecule: ribosomal RNA, 254 nt
Filed under: uncultured bacterium
Lineage: Bacteria
Description: partial 16S ribosomal RNA
Rfam family: Bacterial small subunit ribosomal RNA
Source: RNAcentral
UACGUAGGGUGCGAGCGUUGUCCGGAAUUAUUGGGCGUAAAGAGCUCGUAGGCGGUCUGUCGCGUCGGAUGUGAAAACCCAGGGCUUAACCCUGGGCUUGCAGUGGAUACGGGUAGACUAGAGGCAGGUAGGGGAGAAGUGGAAUUCCCGGUCGUAGCGGUGAAAUGCGCAGAUAUCGGGAGGAACACCGGUGGCGAAGGCGGUCUCUGGGCCGAUAUUGACGCUGAGGAGCGAAAGCGUGGGGAGCGAACAGG